Non-coding RNA from Cryptococcus amylolentus CBS 6039, 87 nucleotides. The record is from the annotation of a RefSeq genome assembly. Lineage: Eukaryota; Fungi; Basidiomycota; Tremellomycetes; Tremellales; Cryptococcaceae.
GCCUCGGUAGUUUAGUGGUUAUAAUUUUUCACUUGUAGUGUUCUCUGCAUGAUGAAAGGGUCCUGUGUUCGACUCACAGCCGUGGCA